Molecule: long non-coding RNA, 1714 nt
Organism: Oncorhynchus nerka (sockeye salmon)
Lineage: Eukaryota; Metazoa; Chordata; Actinopteri; Salmoniformes; Salmonidae
Exons: 3
Source: RefSeq, a predicted model, not a curated record
AGAAGAAUGCCCAGACUCUGUCAGGACACACCUGCAACCCAGGCUGCUCUCCUAGCACCUCUCCUGCCAUUCCUGACCCCCAACGAUGCUGCAUCCCUCCCUCCCUCAAUCUGAGAAAGAAGUUUGCUAGAUGCUAUGAGAACCCAAAACAAGAGACUACCCUCUACUAAACACUGGAAUCAAAGGCAAGCAGGAGGGGAAACAGGCUUUGAACAUAACAAAACAUGUGGCAGUCCCCCAAAAGCAGCCCUUUUAAGAUCACUGUAUGGAAGCGACGUAUGGGCUUGGAGUAAGAGACGUUCUGAACUUGAGCACCGCAUGCGACAAGAAGUUGCCCCCAGCCUUCCUGCUAAUUGGGUAACUUUAGCACAUUUUUGGUUGUCUGAGUGAGGGAAAUGCUGUAAAUUUAAGGACUUGGUAUAUCUUGAAAGAUGAGACGUUGAGGAUUAUAAUAAACACAGCUUUGAUGUCAUACAAGCAAAUCAAACACCUGAGUCCAAAUGUGCACUUCACAUUUCCAUAUCAAAAAAACUCCUGUCAUCUACAGUGUCAACGUUUAUGAUCAAUAUGUUUGAUGACAUGGGUCAUACCCUGGGUUGUUCUGAACAGAAUGAGCCUAUGAUUGUAUAUUGUGAAGAAAUGUUGCCAUGGACCACGCACCUGAAUGCACACAUGACUUUUCUAUGCGGACCAAAAUGAUGUUUCUCUGAAUUGCCCUGUGAAAGCCUACCACUAAGAUCUUAUUUUAUAACUUAGCUAGUCAUGUUGGCAAUUGAGCAAGCUUUCAAAUGAUGCCCACCUGAUCCAGAUUGUGAUUUAUAAUGGACCUAUUCGGAUUGUGUCAACAACAGUAAUUGUGUGAUGACGGUGAUACAGGGUUGUGUUCCAAACAGAACAACUAACAAGUGUCCUUGCUCUAGUUCAAGAAAGCACCUUAUAGUUGAUGACUUCUUUAUGUCAUCAAAGUGCAAUAAAAUGACUUAGGAACUGUGCGUACUUUGGAGCAGUGUGUUGCCACUUGGAGAAACCAUUUAGUCCUCUCACUCAAACCCUUGUCAUUGCUUUGUCUUAUGUUGCAUCCACCACACAUUUUCCAUGGAUAUUCUUAUCAUGUUACUGGUAAGCAUCAACAAGUGCAGCAACAAUCAAAAAGGACCAUCAAAUCAACAGUGUAAUGUUUGGAUUCAGUCUUGUGUCAGGUGAACUGUUGUGUCCUCAACUUUAGUCUAAUCAUUUUCCUAAAAUCUCCAAACUUUCCCCCUUUUCAAUUGCUACCAUGCAUAUGCUUUUCAUUUGACUUCUGUCAGAAACAUGUAAAUGUUGCCCUAUCCAUACAGGCCAAUCCCCAUGAGUUUAAAGGGUUACAUUUGUUCUGCAGAUAAAUCUAACAAUCUUGUGAAUCAUGGUACCCUACAGACCAGAUCAGUCUUCCACCAUCCCCAGCUUUACACUGUUAUACACUCUGUAUGGCAACACGGUGGCUUGGUGUACUGUUGAAACCACCGAAUAUGAUCGUUUUUCAGUCAUGUAUUAUGUUCUAUACUCAAAAUACCCCACAUUGAAGAUAUUCAGGACAUCAAGAACAACUUAAUCAACUUGGUUGUAGGAAUUUGGUAUAUUGUCAUGUAAUUCUCCAUCUAUUGCAUUGCCCCCAGAAAUUGAAAUAAAAAAACAUUUUUUAGAGAAAUAUAAUUGUGCAGUAUUUUACAAAUGC